UAGUGUUACAGGCUCCUUCAGAAUUUUGUCUAGCAGGUUUUCCAGUCUUUACCAGGAAGCCCCU
Symphalangus syndactylus (siamang) is the source of this 64-nucleotide small nuclear RNA. RefSeq annotates it as U7 small nuclear RNA. Lineage: Eukaryota; Metazoa; Chordata; Mammalia; Primates; Hylobatidae. The record is from RefSeq and is a predicted model, not a curated record.